This is a long non-coding RNA of Pongo pygmaeus (Bornean orangutan), 1266 nucleotides long. RefSeq lists it as uncharacterized. The transcript has 5 exons. The record is from RefSeq and is a predicted model, not a curated record. Lineage: Eukaryota; Metazoa; Chordata; Mammalia; Primates; Hominidae.
UUCUCAUGAGAUCUCAUGGUUUUAUAAAUGGCGGUUCUCUGGGGCUUUACGCUCUUUCCUGUUGCUUUGUGAAGAAGGUUCUUGUUUCUUCUUUGCCUUCUGCCAUGAUUGCCAUGUGAAUCGCACCCCUGGAACUGUGCGGGGCCCACCUGUGUGGCCACACGCAGUGACGCUGAGCAAAGGAGUGACCAGAGAAGUGCAUGGCAAAGCAGAAAGGUGUGCUGUCCUGGAGGACGGGGAGGAAAGCACGCCCAGCAGGCAGGAGCUAUCACGUGGCUGCUGGCUGCUGCUGAGAACCUGGCGUGGGCCACCGUCAUCAGCAGCGUGGAGGGAGCCGAGGGGCAUGGACACUGUCUUCUCCUUCCAGCAGGCACAGGUAUGGAAGGAGACUGAGGCUGGUCUUGGAUGGACACUCGCCAUUGCAGUCAGACCCCAUCUGGAUAAUCCUGGAUAAAUCUCAUCUGGAGAUCCUUCACCAGAUCACAUCGGCAAUGACCUGUUCCCCAAAUAAGGCCCCAUGCACAGGUUCUGGGGUGCUAGGAGUGAGCCACCAUGCCUGGCCCAGUUUUUAAUUCUUGGACAUCUCCAAAAUCAGGACAUAUCUUGUCAUUGAAGACGUCUCACCAUAGCGGCCAGCCAUGCAGCCACUGGGCCUGUCUGUGCCUGAACAAGACACUGGCCUGCCUUUGUCUGAACAAGACAGCCUCAGUCUCAAAGCUUGCAGAUGGGUGUAGGCCUGGAAGAAAAUUCUCAAGACAACGGUGGAGCACGCUUGCCCCUAGGAGACCAAGUGGCCGGGAUGUUGAGAAUCAGCCUUUCGCAGAAAUCCCCUAAGCGGGAGGCAGCAGGCUGACUCCAUCAGCCCCAGGCAGGCUUCUGGGCCCUGCAGCUAUGGCUCUUCAUCCUUUUACAUGUUCUUCGAGAAUCAGCUGCACCCUGGAUGCUUCUGACAGCUCAGAGGACAUGAGCAUGAGGACAAGCACAGGGCUUGAUGGCUCAGAGGGAAAUGGAGUUGGAAGAUUUGGACUUAAUAAUGUGCACAAAUUUUAGAAAUAUCUUAACAAAUUUUAUUUUGCUGAUAUCUUUCUUUUAUGUGUGUGCCAAAGUGAUGGCCGGUACAAAUCCAUGUCUAAUUAAGUCCAGAAGAGCUCCUUCAAUAAGCGUAAAAUGAAAGUUAUGAGUGAUAAGAAAGCGUCAUGUCAGUUUAAUUGGCAGCAUUUUCUCUUUUUUAGUGGUUCGUAAAAUAAUGCAGUGCUUUGCUAUCGA